UUUCCGUAGGUGAACCUGCGGAAGGAUCAUUGAAUCUAUUGAAUCCACUCGGUAAUAUUUUGUCUCGCCGGCAAAGGGGGGCUGGUAUGUCUCAAUAUUUAUUGGGUCAUCCCUGUCGCUUCGGCGGGCAACGGCCCUUGGGUUUGUUGCCGCCCCUUUGUUGUGAUGCAUUCAAACCAACACCAAACCAAAACCUAAAUUGAAGACGCUUGCAAGGCGAGCUGUCGACAACAAAGACAACUCUCAACAACGGAUAUCUUGGCUCUC
This 267-nucleotide unclassified non-coding RNA is filed under the name soil metagenome. Its description in RNAcentral is "partial contains small subunit ribosomal RNA, internal transcribed spacer 1, and 5.8S ribosomal RNA". The record is from RNAcentral.